This 253-nucleotide ribosomal RNA is filed under the name uncultured bacterium. RNAcentral describes it as "partial 16S ribosomal RNA". It matches the Rfam family "Bacterial small subunit ribosomal RNA", at positions 524 to 776 of the family's 1533-position model. The record is from RNAcentral.
UACGAAGGGGGCUAGCGUUGUUCGGAAUUACUGGGCGUAAAGCGCGCGCAGGCGGUCCUUUAAGUCAGGGGUGAAAGCCCAGAGCUCAACUCUGGAACGGCCUUUGAAACUAGAGGACUUGGGUACGGGAGAGGUGAGUGGAAUUCCGAGUGUAGAGGUGAAAUUCGUAGAUAUUCGGAAGAACACCAGUGGCGAAGGCGGCUCACUGGCCCGUUACCGACGCUCAGGCGCGACAGCGUGGGGAGCGAACAGG